RNAcentral lists this ribosomal RNA (496 nucleotides) under uncultured bacterium. Its description in RNAcentral is "partial 16S ribosomal RNA". It matches the Rfam family "Bacterial small subunit ribosomal RNA", at positions 28 to 506 of the family's 1533-position model. The record is from RNAcentral.
GAUGAACGCUGGCGGCGUGCCUAAUACAUGCAAGUCGAGCGAACAGAUGAGGAGCUUGCUCCUCUGACGUUAGCGGCGGACGGGUGAGUAACACGUGGAUAACCUACCUAUAAGACUGGGAUAACUUCGGGAAACCGGAGCUAAUACCGGAUAAUAUAUUGAACCGCAUGGUUCAAUAGUGAAAGACGGUUUUGCUGUCACUUAUAGAUGGAUCCGCGCCGCAUUAGCUAGUUGGUAAGGUAACGGCUUACCAAGGCAACGAUGCGUAGCCGACCUGAGAGGGUGAUCGGCCACACUGGAACUGAGACACGGUCCAGACUCCUACGGGAGGCAGCAGUAGGGAAUCUUCCGCAAUGGGCGAAAGCCUGACGGAGCAACGCCGCGUGAGUGAUGAAGGUCUUCGGAUCGUAAAACUCUGUUAUUAGGGAAGAACAAAUGUGUAAGUAACUAUGCACGUCUUGACGGUACCUAAUCAGAAAGCCACGGCUAACUACGG